AUGUGGACUCCUAUAAAUACGUUAACCAAACUCACCUUAUUCCAUCACUUCACUUUUAUAAUCCCAAAUUAAAUUCAAUUAGCUGUUCUUUAUAUUGAGUUAUUUUGAUUAUAUCAUGGAUUUUGAAAGCAUAACUGAGUUUCUUGCUAACAAAACCAUCUUCGUUACUGGUGCAACUGGUUUCAUUGCCAAGAUUCUAGUGGAGAAGAUACUUCGGAUUCAACCAAAUGUUAACAAAUUAUACCUUCUUGUAAGGGCUAGAGAUGCUCAGGCAGCCCAUGUUCGGCUACAACAUGAGAUUUGCGAAAACACGGCUCGAAGAGAAAAAUCCUAGAUUCCGCCGCGAAGAAGGAGACAUUUCAAAGCAGUGCAGCUCGAUUGCUAGCGAGUCUCCGAUCCAAUUCUGCGAAUUAGUUCGUCGGCGAUUUAGGUACAGCGCAAUUUAUGUUAAUUAGGGUUCUUGUUUAUCAGCCUACGGUGUAUAGAAGAUUUCAAGGGUUCUUGUUUAUCAGCCUAUUUCUAGGGUUUUUAAGGUUGGGUGAAACGCCAAACCGUUGGAGCUGGAUCUUCGGUUAACGUCGCCGCCGUCAUUGAUUACCUUAUUUCUUAGAUGGUGCCUGAUAUUGUAGAGGGUGAUGGGUUUGUUGGGAGGCAGCCUCAUAUCAAGUAUGAGCUCAGAGAUAGUCCUGGUCUUGGAGGAUACAACCAAUGUGUAUUCUUCAACUGCAGUUAUAGUAGUUCGGAUACUCCACUGAGUGAGGGUCAGUGCCAUUGGUUUUCUCCCAAGGGUUCUACUUUGCUUAAAGCGGGCUCUAAAAAUCGCAAAUGCCGCUCAACAGAUGGCUAAUGCUACUCGGGGUAGUGGUGGUUUAGUUAUGCUGUUCAUUGAAAUCAUCAAUAAGUAUCUCUAUUUUUUUGAGAAGGGAAACAACCAAAUCACCGUCAAUACAAUCCAGGAUCUAAUGGAAUUAAUUACUACAGAGAUGCAAAGUGAUAAUGCGGCAACAGAUUCUGCUGCUGAAGCUUUCUUUGCAAGCACAUUGCGGUACAUCCAAUUCCAGAAACAAAAAGGUGGCGCAGUUAGUGAGAAAUAUGAACCUAAUGUUAGUUUUUUUGUUGAUCUGGGAGAACUGAAAAGUUAAAACUUGAGAAAGGGAAACAAACUCGGUAACAAUUGCUCUUCAAUCCGCUAAACUUGUGAGAAUUGUCGCCUUUGAUCUUGCUCUUGGGACUCUUGAAUGGUUCCCUCAUUUGUCUUUGAAUACGCUGACGCUGACGCUGCGUGCUACGUGUGUCAUGGGAAGUUGCUUAUCCAAGCAUGAUCUCAACUCUCAAAUUGAUUUGGUAAUUGAAAUUUUGAAGCGUCCAGGAGAAGUCCUCCCUGUUUGUCUUAGUGUCGCACGAACGCUGUAAAUUCAUAAUUUAGUGUGCUUCAAUUUUAAUUUCUCGGCUUUUUUUUUUCUCGGUUCAAAUUUUUAUUUUUAUUUCAUAUUGUAAUUUGUUUGAUUUUGGUCUGACAAUGGAGUUUUUUUCAUCUGCUUGAAUGAUAUCUUGGGCCUCA
RNA transcript from Spinacia oleracea (spinach), 1561 nucleotides. It is a transcript of the gene named alcohol-forming fatty acyl-CoA reductase-like, with no coding region annotated. NCBI's taxonomy places the organism in Eukaryota, Viridiplantae, Streptophyta, Magnoliopsida, Caryophyllales, Amaranthaceae. The record is from RefSeq and is a predicted model, not a curated record. The transcript has 8 exons.